Molecule: ribosomal RNA, 451 nt
Filed under: uncultured soil bacterium
Lineage: Bacteria
Description: bacterial SSU rRNA
Rfam family: Bacterial small subunit ribosomal RNA
Source: RNAcentral
AGAGCGAACGCUGGCGGCAGGCCUAACACAUGCAAGUCGAACGGACUCUUCGGAGUUAGUGGCGGACGGGUGAGUAACACGUGGGAACGUGCCUUUAGGUUCGGAAUAGCUCCUGGAAACGGGUGGUAAUACCGAAUGUGCCCUUCGGGGGAAAGAUUUAUCGCCUUUAGAGCGGCCCGCGUCUGAUUAGCUUGUUGGUGAGGUAAUGGCUCACCAAGGCUACGAUCAGUAGCUGGUCUGAGAGGAUGACCAGCCACAUUGGGACUGAGACACGGCCCAAACUCCUACGGGAGGCAGCAGUGGGGAAUCUUGCGCAAUGGGCGAAAGCCUGACGCAGCCAUGCCGCGUGUAUGAUGAAGGUCUUAGGAUUAGUAAAAUACUUUCACCGGUGAAGAUAAUGACUGUAGCCGGAAGAAGAACGCCCCGGCUAACUUCGUGCCAGCAAGCCGAC